AAUGAACGCUGGCGGCGUGCUUAACACAUGCAAGUCGAGCGAGGCGGAGGGGGGCAACUCCUUCCAGUCGAGCGGCGGACGGGUGAGUAACACGUGGGUAACCUGCCCGGAAGUGGGGAAUACCUCGGAGAAAUUCGAGCUAAUACCGCAUGACAUCUUCGGGACGAAAGUCCUGACGAUCAAAGCGGGGUCGCAAGAUCUCGCGCUACCGGAUGGGCCCGCGCCCGAUUAGCUAGNGGCGAGGUAACGGCUCACCAAGGCUUCGAUCGGUAACCGGCCUGAGAGGGCGAUCGGUCACACCGGAACUGAGACACGGUCCGGACUCCUACGGGAGGCAGCAGUGGGGAAUCUUGCGCAAUGGGCGAAAGCCUGACGCAGCAACGCCGCGUGGAGGAUGAAGGCCCUUGGGUUGUAAACUCCUGUCGGCUGGGAAGAAAUCGUUCGUGGCUCA
RNAcentral lists this ribosomal RNA (451 nucleotides) under uncultured bacterium. Its description in RNAcentral is "bacterial SSU rRNA". It matches the Rfam family "Bacterial small subunit ribosomal RNA", at positions 28 to 464 of the family's 1533-position model. The record is from RNAcentral.